This 915-nucleotide long non-coding RNA is filed under the name Monodelphis domestica (gray short-tailed opossum). RNAcentral describes it as "lncRNA (ENSMODG00000036687.1)". Lineage: Eukaryota; Metazoa; Chordata; Mammalia; Didelphimorphia; Didelphidae. The record is from RNAcentral.
CUGAGCGCCUUGACCACUGGAGUCACCAGGCCACUGUCCUCGGCAACUUCCCCUCUUCGCCCGGCCGGCAAAGGUUGGAAACCCCGCUCUAACGCAGCCUUCUCGAUCCCAGAAUCAGCAGCAGCAGCAGCUCUGCGCAGUCCCCGGGUCAGAGCGGCGGCCCCCGGCGGCUCCUCCUUCCCAGCUACCCGAGAAACCCGGGUCAGGGAAUUAACUAAAAAACGGAAACUACGGAAAGUGCCCGAAGACAGCCGGGGAGUGUGGGGUGGGGAUGGCGCGGGAGCGAUGCGGGACUCCACCGCCCUCCACUCUCCCUUCUUCCGACUCUUCCCCGUCUCUUACCCCCGCCAAGCCCCCACCUCCAUCUCCCCUACCGAUCUCUGUCCAGGCCACAGAGGGGAAGAGGAAGCCCAGCAUCCCUUGGGGCCCAGGUCCUAUGAAAAGGAAAAUUUAGCAUCGGUCUGGAGGGGCGGACCCGGCUCCACUGCUAGCUCCUUCUUUCCGAGCCUCUGACCUCCAAUCCAGGGCGGCAGCGGUGGCAUGCACCCGCACACCUACGCCGAUGCAAACAGACACACACAAAAUUGUGGACCCAAAUAGGGAGCAGAACACGCACUUAUCCAGCUCUCCGGAGGCAGCUGCGGGGAGGAGAUGUUCUGCAGCGCCUACUCCACACCAGGCACUGUCCCAUUAGCUCAUUUGUUGCUCACGAAGACCCUCGUCAGGCCCACUACUGACCCCACAGCAGCUCCACAGAAUCCAGAAACUCAGAGGCAUCUAGUCCAAACAGGCCAAGUCUCCAUCCCUGCCUCCUACCCUCUCUCUAACACUGUUAAUACCGGAGGUGACCUGAAGACGGGCUGCAGCAGGAUGCGGAGGACUGGCGUUGGAACACACCCACCCCCCUCUCUGUGA